This 148-nucleotide signal recognition particle RNA is filed under the name Papio anubis (olive baboon). Its description in RNAcentral is "Metazoan signal recognition particle RNA (ENSPANG00000047842.1)". It matches the Rfam family "Metazoan signal recognition particle RNA". Rfam says of the family: The signal recognition particle (SRP) is a universally conserved ribonucleoprotein. It is involved in the co-translational targeting of proteins to membranes. The eukaryotic SRP consists of a 300-nucleotide 7S RNA and six proteins: SRPs 72, 68, 54, 19, 14, and 9. The record is from Rfam by way of RNAcentral. Lineage: Eukaryota; Metazoa; Chordata; Mammalia; Primates; Cercopithecidae.
GCUGGGUGUGGUGGCGCAUGCCUGUACUCCCAGCUACUCUGGAGGCUGAGGUGGGAGGAUCACUUGAGCCUAGGAGGUCAAAGCUGCAGUGAACCAAGAUCAUGCCACUGUACUCCAGCCUAGGCAACAGAGUGAGACCCUGCCUCAU